Molecule: unclassified non-coding RNA, 347 nt
Filed under: Hevea brasiliensis (rubber tree)
Lineage: Eukaryota; Viridiplantae; Streptophyta; Magnoliopsida; Malpighiales; Euphorbiaceae
Source: RNAcentral
CGUUAAAUCAACAUCACUGCUACAAUCACCACGUGUACAAUAUUAUCACGAUUAUCAUCACUAAAUUAUUAUUUUUAAUUUAAAUAUAGAGGGAGCUAGUUAAAGAUAUUUAGAGAAUGAUAGAAAUAAAAAGAGCUAUAGACAGAGAUAUUAAGAUUAUCAUAUAUAUAAAGAUAAAUAGAGGGAGAGAGAUAUAUAGAAAUGUAUAAAUCAAUAUGUGUUGAUUUUGAAAUAACUCUUGUGUGUGUGUGUGUGUAUAUAAAAAUUUAUCGGAUGAGAGCUAAUAGUCCGAUUGGCACAUGCUCCCAAGCAUAAGGUAGAGGGUUUAGGAUUCGAUCCCUUCAUUU